RNAcentral lists this ribosomal RNA (497 nucleotides) under uncultured bacterium. RNAcentral describes it as "partial 16S ribosomal RNA". It matches the Rfam family "Bacterial small subunit ribosomal RNA", at positions 28 to 507 of the family's 1533-position model. The record is from RNAcentral.
GAUGAACGCUGGCGGCGUGCCUAAUACAUGCAAGUCGAGCGAACAGACGAGGAGCUUGCUCCUCUGUCGUUAGCCGCGGACGGGUGAGUAACACGUGUAUAACCUACCUAUAACACUGGGAUAACUUCGGGAAACCGUAGCUAAUACCGUAUAAUAUAUUUAACCGCAUGGUUCAAUAGUGAAAGACUCUUUUUCUGUUACUUAUAGAUGGAUCCGCGCCGCAUUAGCUAGUUGGUAAUGUAACGGCUUACCAAGGGGACGAUGCGUAGCCGACCUGAGAGGGUGAUAGGCCACCCUGGAACGGAGACACGGUCAAGAGUACUACGGGACGCAGCAGUAGGGAACGUUCGGCAAUGGGCGAGAGCCUGACAGAGCAACCGCGCGUGAGUGAUGACGAUGUUGCGAUAGUAAUAAUGUGUUAUUAGGUAAGAACAAAUGUGUAAGUAAAUAUGCACGACUUGACGGUACCUAAUCAGAAAGCCACGGCUAACUACGUG